AGCCAAACCCGCAGCGGGUCCCACCCACAACCGGACAGGGCCUGGAAACACUGGCUGAUAGAAAAUAAAGGGCACAGUUCUAAAGGGGGCAGAGAAGCAGAGGGACCUGGAGGUUUUCUUUUCAUGCAGAUCAGGCCCAGCUCGCAGCUGUUGUUUUGCCUUGUGACAACCCUCGGCAAGACCCCGGGGGAGUGAGGGGAGGUCCGGUUAGGGACCACUUUACAAGUUCAGAAAGAUAGAAUAAUUUACAUAGACUCUCAGGAUGCGAGUUCUUACUGCACUCAGUAACCUUUCAGCUAAAAGCCAGGACAAUGAAUAACUGUGCACAUGGGGUGGUCAACUAUGGCCUGGGAUCAGGAGAUGGAGUUUGAUUGAGGGACGGUAUAUAACCUGACUGAUGGCAGAUGGGAGACACUGUCAGAACGAUGUAUAAACAGCAAGACAGGCAGUGCCUGUGGGAAGAAUUUGAUAAGGACUCAUGGUCGUCAACUCCUUGUUUUGAGGUGAAGGCUUUGGAAUGCUGGAAUGGGGCCAGAAAUUGGACUUAAAGGGGCACAGGUCCAACAUUGAGGCUGCAGCCAGAUAAUAGCCAUUGACGGAGUGAGUGUUCACCCCCCCAUGUAAGGUUAUUUGGAGGCUCGGUGAUGUAUGAAGCUAGGGGAAUUGUACCUUUUUCAGAACUGUCUUGAACAGACUAAUUUGGGGUUACCAUUUGUGCUGCAAUAAAGUUGACUUUGUUCUGUUGUUUAAA
Long non-coding RNA from Carcharodon carcharias (great white shark), 751 nucleotides. RefSeq lists it as uncharacterized. The transcript is spliced from 3 exons. The record is from RefSeq and is a predicted model, not a curated record. NCBI's taxonomy places the organism in Eukaryota, Metazoa, Chordata, Chondrichthyes, Lamniformes, Lamnidae.